AGAGUUUGAUCAUGGCUCAGAUUGAACGCUGGCGGCAGGCCUAACACAUGCAAGUCGAACGGUAGCACAGAGAGCUUGCUCUCGGGUGACGAGUGGCGGACGGGUCAGUAAUGUCUGGGAAACUGCCUGAUGGAGGGGGAUAACUACUGGAAACGGUAGCUAAUACCGCAUAACGUCGCAAGACCAAAGAGGGGGACCUUCGGGCCUCUUGCCAUCAGAUGUGCCCAGAUGGGAUUAGCUAGUAGGUGGGGUAAUGGCUCACCUAGGCGACGAUCCCUAGCUGGUCUGAGAGGAUGACCAGCCACACUGGAACUGAGACACGGUCCAGACUCCUACGGGAGGCAGCAGUGGGGAAUAUUGCACAAUGGGCGCAAGCCUGAUGCAGCCAUGCCGCGUGUAUGAAGAAGGCCUUCGGGUUGUAAAGUACUUUCAGCGAGGAGGAAGGCGGUGAGGUUAAUAACCUCAUCGAUUGACGUUACUCGCAGAAGAAGCACCGGCUAACUCCGUGCCAGCAGCCGCGGUAAUACGGAGGGUGCAAGCGUUAAUCGGAAUUACUGGGCGUAAAGCGCACGCAGGCGGUCUGUCAAGUCGGAUGUGAAAUCCCCGGGCUCAACCUGGGAACUGCAUUCGAAACUGGCAGGCUAGAGUCUUGUAGAGGGGGGUAGAAUUCCAGGUGUAGCGGUGAAAUGCGUAGAGAUCUGGAGGAAUACCGGUGGCGAAAGGCGGCCUCCUGGACAAAGACUGACGCUCAGUGCGAAAGCGUGGGGAGCAACAGAUUAGAUACCCUGGUAGUCCACGCCGUAAACGAUGUCGACUUGGAGGUGUUCCCUUGAGGAGUGG
Molecule: ribosomal RNA, 840 nt
Filed under: uncultured bacterium
Lineage: Bacteria
Description: bacterial SSU rRNA
Rfam family: Bacterial small subunit ribosomal RNA
Source: RNAcentral